GACGAACGCUGGCGGCGUGCCUAACACAUGCAAGUCGAACGAGAUCCAUGGGAGCUUGCUCCCGGAAGAUCUAGUGGCGAACGGGUGAGUAACACGUGAGAAACCUGCCCUGGAGUGGGGAAUAACUCGGGGAAACUCGAGCUAAUACCGCAUACCCUCGGAUGGUCGCAUGGCCGACCGAGGAAAGAUUUAUCGCUCUAGGAGGGUCUCGCGGCCUAUCAGCUAGUUGGUGGGGUAACGGCCUACCAAGGCAACGACGGGUAGCUGGUUUGAGAGAACGAUCAGCCACACUGGGACUGAGACACGGCCCAGACUCCUACGGGAGGCAGCAGUGGGGAAUCUUGCGCAAUGGGCGAAAGCCUGACGCAGCAACGCCGCGUGCGGGAUGACGGCCUUCGUGGUUGUAAACCGCUUUCUAGCAGGACGAAAGUGACGGUACCUGCAGAAGAAGCCCCGGCUAACUACGUGCCAGCAGCCGCGGUAAU
RNAcentral lists this ribosomal RNA (485 nucleotides) under uncultured bacterium. RNAcentral describes it as "bacterial SSU rRNA". It matches the Rfam family "Bacterial small subunit ribosomal RNA", at positions 28 to 524 of the family's 1533-position model. The record is from RNAcentral.